GGCGACUCGUCCGGGACACUCGCCGAUUGCGGCUCGGUGCUCGCCGAUUGCGGCUCGGUGCUCGCCGGUUGCGGUUCGGUGCUCGCCAC
Molecule: transfer RNA, 89 nt
Filed under: Micromonospora qiuiae
Lineage: Bacteria; Bacillati; Actinomycetota; Actinomycetes; Micromonosporales; Micromonosporaceae
Description: tRNA-Arg
Source: RNAcentral